This 253-nucleotide unclassified non-coding RNA is filed under the name uncultured Bacteroidia bacterium. RNAcentral describes it as "contains 16S-23S intergenic spacer region". It matches the Rfam family "Bacterial small subunit ribosomal RNA", at positions 524 to 776 of the family's 1533-position model. Lineage: Bacteria; Pseudomonadati; Bacteroidota; Bacteroidia. The record is from RNAcentral.
GACGAAGGAUGCAAGCGUUAUCCGGAUUCAUUGGGUUUAAAGGGUGCGUAGGCGGCCCUGUAAGUCAGCGGUGAAAUCCCAAGGCUCAACCUUGGAAUCGCCGUUGAUACUGCAGGGCUCGAGUCCGACCGAGGUCGUUGGAACGCGUAGUGUAGCGGUGAAAUGCUUAGAUAUUACGCAGAACACCGAUUGCGAAGGCAGAUGGCUAGGUCGGAACUGACGCUGAGGCACGAAAGUGCGGGGAUCAGACAGG